RNAcentral lists this ribosomal RNA (433 nucleotides) under Klebsiella pneumoniae. RNAcentral's name for it is "bacterial SSU rRNA". It matches the Rfam family "Bacterial small subunit ribosomal RNA", at positions 347 to 796 of the family's 1533-position model. The record is from RNAcentral. Lineage: Bacteria; Pseudomonadati; Pseudomonadota; Gammaproteobacteria; Enterobacterales; Enterobacteriaceae.
GGCUGCAGUGGGGAAUAUUGCACAAUGGGGGAAACCCUGAUGCAGCGACGCCGCGUGAGUGAAGAAGUAUUUCGGUAUGUAAAGCUCUAUCAGCAGGAACGAGACAAGACGGUACCUGACUAAGAAGCCCCGGCUAACUACGUGCCAGCAGCCGCGGUAAUACGUAGGGGGCAAGCGUUAUCCGGAAUCACUGGGUGUAAAGGGAGCGUAGACGGCUGAGCAAGCCUGAAGUGAAAGGCGGGGGCCCAACCCCCGGACUGCUUUGGGAACUGUACGGCUGGAGUGCAGGAGAGGUAAGUGGAAUUCCUAGUGUAGCGGUGAAAUGCGUAGAUAUUAGGAGGAACACCAGUGGCGAAGGCGGCUUACUGGACUGUAACUGACGUUGAGGCUCGAAAGCGUGGGGAGCAAACAGGAUUAGAUACCCUAGUAGUCC